RNAcentral lists this non-coding RNA (147 nucleotides) under Pan paniscus (pygmy chimpanzee). The record is from Rfam by way of RNAcentral. RNAcentral also lists the same sequence under 1 other name. Lineage: Eukaryota; Metazoa; Chordata; Mammalia; Primates; Hominidae.
GCCAGGCAUAGUGGCACAUGCCUGUAGUCCAAGCUACUUGGGAGGCUGAGACAGGGGAUCCUUUGAGUCCAGGAGUUUGAGGCUGCACUGAGUUAUGAUCAUGCCACUGCAGUCCUGCCUGGGCAACAGAGUGAGACCCUGUCUCUA